UAAAAGUGUGAUUCGUUC
RNAcentral lists this transfer RNA (18 nucleotides) under Parthenocissus quinquefolia (Virginia creeper). Its description in RNAcentral is "partial tRNA-Gly". The record is from RNAcentral. Lineage: Eukaryota; Viridiplantae; Streptophyta; Magnoliopsida; Vitales; Vitaceae. RNAcentral also lists the same sequence under 9 other names.